Molecule: long non-coding RNA, 592 nt
Organism: Halichondria panicea
Lineage: Eukaryota; Metazoa; Porifera; Demospongiae; Suberitida; Halichondriidae
Exons: 2
Source: RefSeq, a predicted model, not a curated record
CAAUGUGGGUGGGGCUGACUGGUGCAAAGUCCAGCUCUAUUGUCCAGCAGCUAGAGCUAGAGAUGAAUUGGCCUUCCUUCCUACUGAGAAGCUAUGUCCUGCAAGGACUAAGAGCUACAGGCUCCACACUGAAGACAUGUUCAUUAUCAUCACGCCUGUACUCUAUCAAAGCCCAUUCCUCCCUAACCCCCACAGUGGUGUACGCCCACUCCCUACCCCCCACUGUCCAAUCAGUGUCUCUGUUCAGUACGUCAUCUCAACCUCCCACUACUCAAUCCACUGACACUGAAGAUGAUGAAGAGACAAGGUCCAGGGAGCUGAAGAGAUUAAGGAUAGCCCUGAUUGUAGGACCUGCCUGGUUUGUGCUGCUCAUGUAUUUGUGCUUCUUCAGAGAGGAGAAGGAAGGAGGAAUAAUCGACUACUUGAAUCAAGACAUAAGACACAACAAACGAUUGCCUCCAGAUGUACAGCAAAAGGCUAAAGAACUCUAUGGCAACUCUGAUAAAUAAAGACAGCAUUGUACAGACCUAUUAUUUAUGUGGUAUCGUAUAGCGGGAAAUGUUUGAGCUAUAGAAGAAAUUUUGUGUUUCAA